GCAUCUGUAGCUCAACCGGAUACGCGGCUGGAACGGGAAACCCGGAAACUUCGGCUCGCUGAUCGUGAUUCACCAGGGCAUCGUCACGAGAAAGCGGUUCGUAUGCGGAACGGCGCCUCCUACGGCUCAAGAGCACCAGCUUUGGGGGCUGGAAGGUGCGGGUUCGAGUCCCGUCAGAUGCGCCA
RNAcentral lists this transfer RNA (185 nucleotides) under Rhizobiaceae bacterium. Its description in RNAcentral is "tRNA-Pro". The stretch from base 124 to 174 matches the Rfam family "tRNA", at positions 9 to 63 of the family's 71-position model. RNAcentral also lists the same sequence under 2 other names. The record is from RNAcentral. Lineage: Bacteria; Pseudomonadati; Pseudomonadota; Alphaproteobacteria; Hyphomicrobiales; Rhizobiaceae.